This 506-nucleotide ribosomal RNA is filed under the name uncultured bacterium. RNAcentral's name for it is "partial 16S ribosomal RNA". It matches the Rfam family "Bacterial small subunit ribosomal RNA", at positions 30 to 523 of the family's 1533-position model. The record is from RNAcentral.
AUUGAACGCUGGCGGCAGGCCUAACACAUGCAAGUCGAACGGUAACAGGAAACGGCUUGCUGUUUCGCUGACGAGUGGCGGACGGGUGAGUAAUGUCUGGGAAACUGCCUGAUGGAGGGGGAUAACUACUGGAAACGGUAGCUAAUACCGCAUAACGUCGCAAGACCAAAGUGGGGGACCUUCGGGCCUCACACCAUCGGAUGUGCCCAGAUGGGAUUAGCUAGUAGGUGGGGUAACGGCUCACCUAGGCGACGAUCCCUAGCUGGUCUGAGAGGAUGACCAGCCACACUGGAACUGAGACACGGUCCAGACUCCUACGGGAGGCAGCAGUGGGGAAUAUUGCACAAUGGGCGCAAGCCUGAUGCAGCCAUGCCGCGUGUAUGAAGAAGGCCUUCGGGUUGUAAAGUACUUUCAGCGGGGAGGAAGGCGAUGGGGUUAAUAACCGCGUCGAUUGACGUUACCCGCAGAAGAAGCACCGGCUAACUCCGUGCCAGCCGCCGCCGUAA